UCCUCCUCGGUCUCCCCACCUUUCAGAUUCUGAGCAGGCUUGAGCUGGGGGGCUGGGCCCCACCCACUGACCCUGCUGUGGCCCCAGAAGGCUUGGAUUUGCCCACCUGCCCCAGAGAGUCUCCCCAAAGCUGGGGUGUUCUGUGGGGGGAGGGGCAGAGCCUGCGCAGGGCCACACUCGCCCCCACCCGUGGGGAGGACGACAUGUUAGUCACACGACCCCAACGGGCCUCUCGGGAGCAGUGAGGAGGCCCAGAGCACGUCCAGCGGCCGGACCUGUCCUGGGGCCGAGCUGACCGGGACGCUUACGUGGGGUGUUGGGCUUCCCCACCACCCUGGGCUGGGACAGGCCCACACAGGAAGCGCCGCUGCUGGGGGAGGCUUCCUGGGGGGGGGAGGCCUGGGGGGGUUAGGCUUUGGGGAUGGACGUGAGAACAGACAGGGCUGCCAGGAGCUGGGUUUGAAUCCCACCUUCGUUGCUCAGCCGGGAGGCUCCUGGACUGGGUUCCUCUGAGGGAUGGUCUCGUGCCCGCCUGGCCCCAGGGGGCAGAAGGCCUUGGGCCUCCUUCCUCCCCCAGGAGGCCCCAUUCUGCCCAGGAGCCCUCACCGGGGGCUGUUCUCGGGCACGGAGGACCCAGAGCUCGGGCCGCCCGCCUUGAGAGGCGAGAGAUGGGCCGGGGAGGGGUUGGGGAGCCCCCGGGCCGCGGGGUCACCCUGGGCCUGCUCCUGCAGGUGGACAAGCUGGACGCCUCGGAGAGCCUGCGGAGGGACGAGGAGCAGGGGGCGGAGCCGGCGCCCAUCGUGUUCGAUUUUGAUGGGCAUGAGUGAUACCCAGUGAGGCGGCUAAGCCAGCAGCUGAUGCUGACGGCGGGCCCCACUGCGGCGCCUUCUCAGGGCGCCUUCUCCUACGGCUACGGGGCUCCGGCCUUCCCCCAGGCCCCCGUUUACAGCUUCAACAUGUAGCGGGGGCUCCGCGGGGCCCCCUCCCCGCCCGUCCACCUGGCCGUCGCGUGGCAGCGCUUCCCGAGGAGCCGCUCUGUUAUUUAUUGUCUCUAACGCUCUGUCGCCUCCCGGCCGGCCGCCCGCAGGGCCCUUCCUGCCCCAGCCGCGGGGAGCCGGCGGCCCCUUCCCACUUCCAGCUCUGCGGCCGGGGAGCCCCCAUCCCAUCCGGGGCGCAGAGACUGCCUUAUCUGCCCCUUCCCUGUCUGCGCUGGCGUCCCAGAAGAGCGCGUGGCCGGAGGCUGAAGGAAAGAAGAGGGAGGCAGGGAGUCUUGGAGGUGGCCGUCUCCGGUGCGUAGGUCAUUGGUCAGAGUCGGCUGCUUGGGGUGGCGUGUUGUGGGGUAGGGCCCCGGCCCCCCCUCGGGUCGGGCCGCCCCCGCCUUGCCUGCGGUCUGGUUCCUGUGGGCCC
RNAcentral lists this long non-coding RNA (1407 nucleotides) under Monodelphis domestica (gray short-tailed opossum). RNAcentral describes it as "lncRNA (ENSMODG00000041487.1)". Lineage: Eukaryota; Metazoa; Chordata; Mammalia; Didelphimorphia; Didelphidae. The record is from RNAcentral.